CCGUCGCCCCCAGCGCGUGCCCGCCCGGCGCCCUCUAGGGUGGAAGGCUGCGGGCGUCCUACCAGUGCCAGGACUGCCAGAGCGGGAGGAGCGCGGCGCGGGCCAGCCGGGACUGCUGGACAGCGGGGUCCAGGCUAGAGGCGAGCGAGCGGUCCACCUCCUAACAAAUUAUUGGAAGGAAUAUGAGAAAAAUGGAGUUUCACUCUUGUCACCCAGGCUGGAGUGCAAUAGAGCGAUCAUGGCUCACUGCAACCUCUGCCCCCCGGGUUCAAGCGAUUCUCCUGCCUCAGCCUCUCAAGUAGCUGGGAUUACAAGUGCCCACCACCACGCCCAGCUAAUUUUUGUAUUUUUAGUAAAGAUGGGGUUUCACCACAUUGGCCAGGCUGGUCUCUAACUCCUGACCUCACGUGAUUCAUCCAUCUCAGCCUCCCAAAGUGCUGGGAUUACAGGCAUGAGCCACUGUGCCUGGCCUAUACUUAUAUUUUCUUCUGUGAUUUUAAUAUUUUAGUGUUUAUGUUUUGGUCUAUGAUCCAUUUUGAGUAAAUUUUUAUAUUUGGUAUAAGGUAGGGGUCCAACUUUAUUUAUUUUUGAGAUGGAGGCUUACUCUAUUGCCCAGGCAGGCAUGCAAUGGUGCGAUCCAGCUCACUGCAACCUCUGUGUCCCAGGCUCAAGUGAUUCUCCCACCUCAGCCAUCUGAGUAGCUCGGAUUACAGGCCCCAUCACUAUGGUAAUUUUUAAAUUUUUAGUAGAGACGGGGUUUCACCAUGUUGGCCAGGCUGGUCUCGAACUCAUGACCUCAAGUGAUCUGCCCGCCUCUGCCCUACAAAGUGCUGGGAUUACAGGCGUGAGCCACCGUGCCUGGCCUCCAGCUUUAUUCUUUUUUUUUUUUUUUUUUUGAGACAGAGUCUUGUUCUGUCACCCAGGCUGGAGUGCUGGAGUGCAGUGGCGCGAUCUCGGCUCACUGCAAGCUCCGCCUCCUGGGUUCACGCCAUUCUCCUGCCUCAGCCUCCCGAGUAGCUGGGACUACAGGCGCCUGCCACCACGCCUGGCUAAUUUUUUGUAUUUUUAGUAGAGAUGGGGUUUCUCCAUGUUAGCCAGGAUGGUCUCGAUCUCCUGACCUCGUGGUCUGCCUGCCUCGGCCUCCCAAAAGUGCUGGGAUUACAGGCGUGAGCGACCAUGCCCGGCCAACUUUAUUCUUUUAGAUGUGGAUGUCUAGUUGUUCCAGAAGUAUCUGUUAAAAAUGUUACUCUUUCUCCAUUGGAUUAUUUUGGCAACCUUAUAAACAAUCAAUUGACCAUAAAUGUAUGGAUUUAUUUCUGGAUUGUCAGAUCUAUUCCAGUGAUCUAAAUGUCUGUCCUUAUGCCAGUACCAUAGAGUCUUGAUUACUAUAGCUUCAUGGUAAGUUUUCAAAUCAAGAAGUGUGAGUGCUCCAAAUUUGUUUUUAUUUUUCAAGAUUAUUUUGGCUGUUCUGGCUUCUUUGGAUUUUCAUAUGUAUUUUAGGGUCAGCCUUUCAGCUGGGCAUGGUGGCUCACGCUUGUAAUCCCAGCACUUUGGGAGGAGUUCAAGAUUAGCAUGACAAAAUCCCAUCUCUACAAAACAAAAAACAAAACAAAAGAAACAUUAGCCAGGCUUGGUGGCAUGUGCCUGUGGUCCCAGCUACUCAGGAAGCUGAGUAGCUUCCCGAGGCAGGAAGAUCACUUGAGACCAGGAGGUGGAGGUUUCAGUGAGCUGAGAUCGUGCCACUGUACUCCAGCCUGGGUAAUGGAGACAGACCCUGUCUGAAAACAAAAAAAUUUUUUAAAUAGGCUUUUGUUUUUUAUUUUAUUUAAUUUUUGACACAGGGUCCACUCUGUAGCUCAGGCUGGAGUGCAGUCGUGUGAUCUCAGCUCCCUGCAUCCUCCGCCUUUUGGGUUCAAGCAGUCCUCCCGUCUCAGCCUCCCGAGUAGCUGGGACUUACAGGCGUGUGUCACCACACCCAGCUAAUUUUUGUAUUUUUAGUAGAGGUGACCAUAUUGGCCAGGCUGGUCUUGAACUGACUUCAGGUGAUCUUCCUGCCUCAGCCUCCCAAACCCAAAGUGCUGGGAUUACAGGUGUGAGCCACUGUGCUCAGCCUGUUAAUUUUUUUUUUUUUUUUUUUUUUGAGACGGAGUCUCACUCUGUCACCUAGGUUGGAAUGCAGUGGUGCCAUCUUGGCCUCACUGCAACCUCCACCUCCCAGGUCCAAGGGAUUCUCCUGCCUCAGCCUCCCAAGUAGCUGGGGUUACAGGCACGUGCCACCAUGCCUGGCUAAUCUUUUGUAUUUUUAGUAGAGAUGGGGUUUCACCGUGUUAGCCAGGACGAUCUCGAUCUCCUGACCUCAUGAUCUGCCUGCCUCGGCCUCCCAAAGUGCUGGAAUUACAGGCAUGAGCCACUGACCCUGGCCCAGGAGUAUUGCUUUAACAAUAUAAGGUUUUCUGAUUUAUAAACAAGAAUGUCUUUCCAUUUAUUUAGGUCCUUAAUUUCUUCCAACAGUCUUUUCUAGUUUUCAAUGUACAAGUUUUUUGCGCUUCUGUUACAUUUAUUCCUGGCCGGGCACGGUGGCUCCGCCUGUAAUCCCAACACUUUGGGAGGCCAAGGCAGGCGGAUCACCUGAGGUCAGGAGUUUGAAACCAGACUGAACAACAUGCAGAAACCCCAUCUCUACUAAAAAUGCAAAAUUAGCUGGGCGUGGUGGUGCAUGCCUGUAAUUCCAGCUACUUGGGAGGCUGAGGCAAGAGAAUUGCUUGAACCCGGGUGGCAGAGGUUGAGGUGAGCUGAGAUCACGCCAUUGCACUCCAGCGUGGGUAACGAGUGAAACGUCUCAAAAAAAAAAUUAUUCCUAACAUUUUAUUCUUCCUUUUUUUUUUUUUGAGACAGAGUCUCGCUCUGUCACCAGGCUGGAGUGCAGUGGCAAGAUCUCGGUUCAAGCCAUUCUCCUGCCUCAGCCUCUUGUGUAGCUGCGACUACAGGUGCAUACCACCAUGCCCAGCUAAUUUUUGUAUUUUUAGUAGAGACAGGGUUUCAUCAUGUUGGCCAGGAUGGUCUCGAUGUCUUGACCUCGUGAUCUGCCUGCCUUGGCCUCCCAAAGUGCUGGGAUUACAGGCAUGAGCCACUGUGCCCGGCCAAUUUUUUUCUUUUUGAUGCCAGCCUUUGUCCUCUGUCUUUAAGUAGGAUGACCUCAUCAUGAACAUAAUACUGUCUGGAGAUGUUUCCUUGGUUGUAAAAUGAGAAGCCUAGGGAGAUUAUUUUUAUGCUUCCUUAGUUGUCCCCUUCCCCUCCACUUUUCAGUGUUUAGUCUGUAUUUUGAGUCUGCUUGAGUGUCCCUAUGACACAUCUGCUGGUUAAUUUGCAGCCACCAGUGGGGCUUCUCUGCUGUAAAGGAGAUAAAGGACAUGGAAAGGAAUGGCUUUGGAGUCCAACAGGCCAUUGUCCUGGUAAGCCUUUUACUGGCUAUGUGAUCUUGAGGACCUUAUUUCACCUGAGCUUGUUUUUCAUUUGUUGAGUGGGGCUGUUAUUGAGGAGUCAGUAAGCGAAGUGAAUGACAGCACCUGGGGCACUGCUAGCACACUGGACCCAUUUCAUAGAUUGAUGUGCUGUAACAGCCCAGGAGGGUCUCACUCGGCCACCCUAGCAGAAAUGCAGUGCCACAAUCAUGGCUUAUAGCAGCCUCGACCUCCUGGGCUCAAGCAAUUCUCCCCCCUCAGCCUCCCAAGUACCUGAGACUACAGGUGUGUGCCACCAUGUUUUUUUUUUUUUUUUUUAAUUAUUUUUUGUAGAGAUGAGGGUCUCACUCUGUUACCCAGGCUGGUCUCCCCACUCCUGGCCUCAAGUAAUCCUUCCUCCCUCAGUCUCCCACAGUGCUGGGAUUACAGGUGGAAACCUGCACCUGGCCUCUUCCUAACUUUUCAUUGUGAACAUCCAAAAAACUACAAACGUUGAAAUCAUCUUAUUAUAUUGCUGACUCUGGAUUAAUCCGUAUCUUCUACCUCCAUAACACUAUUUCUGAUCUGGGAAAGGGCAGCUUUUCCCCCCGCCCUUCUUUUUUUUUUUUUUUUUUUUUUUGAGACGGAGUUUUGCUUGUCUCCCAGGCUGGAGUGCAAGGGCGUGAUCUCGGCUCACUGUAAUCUCCGCCUCCUGGGUUCAAGCUAUUCUCCUGCCUCAGCCUCCUGAGUAGCUGGGAUUACCAGUGCCCGCCACCACGCCCAGCUGUUUUUUUUAGUAGAGAUGGGGUUUCUCCAUGUUAGCCAAGCUGGUAUCGAACUCCUGAACUCAGGUCAUCUACCCGCCUCAGCCUCCCAAAGUGCUAGGAUUACAGGUGUGGGCCACCGUGCCCGGGGCCUAGUUUUGUAUUUUUAGCAGAGACGGGGUUUCACCAUGUUGGCCAGGCUCGUCUUGAUCCACCCAUCUUGGCUUCCCAAAGUGUUGCGAUUACAGGUGUUAGUCACCGUGCCCAGCCUCCUUCCUAUUUAAUGACUUCUGCCCCUACUUCCUGCUUUCAUCAUUGCAGUAAGAAUGCACUGGUCUAACACUUCAACCCGGCUGUCUUUAGCCAGAGGCAGAGCUUUGAAACCUGGGAAUUUACUGCUUGGAAAUGGGAUGGAAUUCUAAACAUUUCCCUUUUGAGGGUUUAUUCACAUGAAUCCUGGGCCCCUAGUCUUAGGGAGCUGGAAGGCCGUAUUUCUGGAACAGGUGUUCACUACUUCCGUUUAUCGGGUCUCAGCCAAGUAGACCUGGAGCUGCUCCCUAGCAGAAUGUGGUGCACUCUUCUGGGCGCCGCCUCCUCUCCUCCUCUUCCUAUCUCUCCUCCAACAUCCAGCUUCCAUGCUACCCUUUCCAGAAACAUUUCCAAUUCCCAUCAGCUAGGUUUUCUUUCAUGGAUUCCCUCUUGCAUUCCUUGCAUAGAUCACUUGGUGCUUUGUACUUUGUCAUGCUGUCUUCUAGACCUUAAGCUGGUUAGGUUGAGGGCAGGGCUGCAUGCUGUUCAUGUGUGCUCUGCCUGGCCUGGCACAGAUGUAGCUGCUCCAUGGAUAUCUGCGGGGUCACUGAGCUGAAGCAGGUGGAUGCUGGAUGCUUGAUACUAGAUACAUUUUCUGGGGCUGGCUCUGAUUAAUGCUGAGUGAGUUCACCUCACAUUAAGAUGCUGGUAAGGUGGCUCAUGCCUGUAAUCCCAGCAAUUUGGGAGGCCAAGGUGGAGGAUCACUUGAGUCCAGGAGUUCGAGACCAGACUGGGUAACAUAGCAAGACCCUGUCUCUAUAAAAAUUUUAAAAAGUCAGCCAGGCAUGAUGGUACACACCUUUGAGUCCCAGCUACUAGGGAGGCUGAGGUAAGAGGACUGCUUCAGCCCAUGAGUUUGAGGCUACAGUGAACUACAAUUGUGCCACUGCAUUCCAGCCUGGGUGACGAGACUGUCUUAAAAAAAAAAGAUGCUGGUUGUUUUCAGACUAAAAUAGUAGCAACAGGUCAACGUAUCUGAAAUCCUUUAGCAGUCAUAUAUGGUUAGUGUAAAUCUCUGUGAUAAAAGAAAGAUCUGGAAUUGAUACCAAAGCAGCUCAGUACUUUUUAGUGUACUAACACAUUUGUUUUAACAACUUGUUCACAGCUACUGCAAUGUUCAGAUGGAGGAUCAAUAAUCUCUCCAUUCUUUGAGCAUCUAGCAUAUUACUGGACUCAUGUGUAAUCUCUCUCAGCCUUCUAGGUUUUAUUUCCACACAUUUUCCUUCCCUUCAACCCGAUUCCAACUGACUUCUUUGUAUUCAGUUAGCAAACAGGAGUGUUCCCCUAGCUUCAUCUUCUCUGUUUUUAAAAGACGGAGUCUUUGGAGUGCAGUGGUGAGAUCCUGGCUAACUGCAACCUCCACCAGGAUCUGAUUCUCCUGCCUCAGCCUCCCAAGUAGCUGGGACGGCAGGUGCCCACCACCACGCCCUGCUGAUUUUUAGUAGAGAUGGGGGUUUCACCAUAUUGGCCAGGCUGGUCUUGAACUCCUGACCUCGUGAUCUGCCUGCCUUGGCCUCCCAAAAUGUUGGGAUUAUAGGCGUGAGCCACCAUGCCUGGCAAGUCUUGUUUUUUCCAAGAAGUUACUUGGGACUUAGGCAGAUAUGAUCCGUCUUCUUAGGUCCUCCUUCUCAUCCCUGUAAGAUGAAGGUGAUUGGAAGACCAUGAGGUCAUCCUUAAGGGGUCCUGUAUCAAGGUGUUAAGUAGGUUAUCACUUCCACCUUGACUGUUAGCUGGUACCUGCAGUACUUUUUCCCAGAACUUUGGAUAAAUUCACCAAGAUCUACUUGUGAAUACAUUAUACGUAGUAGAUUAAAGAGGCUAUAAGCUAAUGCUUUCACUUUUUCCUCUGAAUCCUAAGCAUUAGGCACUUAAAACGGGUGUACUCCAAGACAAAGAUGUGUUAUCAAGUGAAACAAAGUCAGGGUGUCUGUCUCACACAGUUUAUUUAACAAUAGGUAAUAAGAAAUCAAAUUUAACAGUCUAUACAGUGAUCCAAAG
This 6511-nucleotide long non-coding RNA is filed under the name Homo sapiens (human). Its description in RNAcentral is "HSALNT0278176". The record is from RNAcentral. Lineage: Eukaryota; Metazoa; Chordata; Mammalia; Primates; Hominidae.